CUCGGUUUAAGCGGUUUCAUCCGAAGGAACGCCCCAAUGUGUUGCCUCUUACGACAAGCAGGGGAUACUGAGGACCUAUUCGAACCCGGAUCCCCACCGGGCAAUUUGUGUGUGAUUAGCUGUCAGACAAAAUAAUUGACAAAACUUGUUCAACGGACACUAAGCACAUGAUAUAUUGUUAACAUAUCUACGGUUCAACACAAACCGGUUGUCAUGCCCUUAAAGAACGUCAACCACAAUAACUUUGAGCAAAUAAACUUACCAGUCAGACACCACGUUCAACCGAAUGUCCGAUAACAACCGAAUAGCCGAUAACGCGUUUACCCGUGUGAUACCUGGGAAAAAGACUUGUCAUCUAUAAUAUAGAAGAUGAAUUUGAGAAGGUUUUGAUGAAAACUAAACCUGGAAAAUCGUGUGGUAUAGAUCUUCCGUAUGAGGUCCCCAAGUCGAACACCGUUAUAAAAAUUCAACACAAGAUGUCUCUGCUGUACCUUGAUAUUCAAUAUGGCGUAAAGCUAUAAUUUGUAGCUGCAAUAAUGUAGCCCUAUCCAAUUUUUUUUUAUUCUGACGUUUUCGGGAUCAGAGAGGGCUACAUUAUUGCAGUUAAUAAUUUGUCCUUUACUGAAGGACUCAUCCCCCGACCCUCUGCUUCCUAUGAACUAUCGAGGAAUAAGCCUUCUUUCUGUUGUAACCAAAAUUAAUCGUUUUAUUCUGAACAAGGCUGGUUACGUACUUA
Molecule: long non-coding RNA, 736 nt
Organism: Ostrea edulis (European flat oyster)
Lineage: Eukaryota; Metazoa; Mollusca; Bivalvia; Ostreida; Ostreidae
Exons: 3
Source: RefSeq, a predicted model, not a curated record